UACGUAGGGGGCAAGCGUUAUCCGGAUUUACUGGGUGUAAAGGGAGCGUAGACGGCAAGGCAAGUCUGAAGUGAAAGCCCGGUGCUUAACGCCGGGACUGCUUUGGAAACUGUUUAGCUGGAGUGCCGGAGAGGUAAGCGGAAUUCCUAGUGUAGCGGUGAAAUGCGUAGAUAUUAGGAAGAACACCAGUGGCGAAGGCGGCUUACUGGACGGUAACUGACGUUGAGGCUCGAAAGCGUGGGGAGCAAACAGG
This 253-nucleotide ribosomal RNA is filed under the name Fusicatenibacter saccharivorans. RNAcentral describes it as "partial 16S ribosomal RNA". It matches the Rfam family "Bacterial small subunit ribosomal RNA", at positions 524 to 776 of the family's 1533-position model. The record is from RNAcentral. RNAcentral also lists the same sequence under 1 other name. Lineage: Bacteria; Bacillati; Bacillota; Clostridia; Lachnospirales; Lachnospiraceae.